UCGUCAGGUAGGAUAAUCCUUACCUGUUCCUCCUUUUGGAGGGCAGAAUAGAACAUGAUGAUUUGGAGCUCGCAUGAUUCGUGAUUAACGGCUCUGCGUAAUCAGGACUUGCAAAAAUAAAAUGAUAGCAUCUAGGAGAU
Cervus hanglu yarkandensis (Yarkand deer) is the source of this 140-nucleotide small nucleolar RNA. Its record names the gene U8. It matches the Rfam family "U8 small nucleolar RNA". Rfam says of the family: U8 is a member of the C/D class of snoRNA which contain the C (UGAUGA) and D (CUGA) box motifs. Lineage: Eukaryota; Metazoa; Chordata; Mammalia; Artiodactyla; Cervidae. The record is from Ensembl.